This 478-nucleotide long non-coding RNA is filed under the name Cicer arietinum (chickpea). Its description in RNAcentral is "long non-coding RNA (CARI_LNC003170)". The record is from RNAcentral. Lineage: Eukaryota; Viridiplantae; Streptophyta; Magnoliopsida; Fabales; Fabaceae.
UAUUUGCAAGGAUCAUUGAAAAAGAGGAAGAACAAUGAUUAGUAAAUUGAAGAUUGUUAUUUCAACCUUGAUUUUAGUUCUUCUAUUCUCAAUAGGUAUGUAGACAAUUUGCAUAAUAUAUUUUAAAUCAUUCAUAUGUUAUGUUGCUUAUACAUAUUGAUUAUCGAUUACACUAAUAUUAUUCUUUUCAACAGGUACGAACGGUAUAGUACUCGAACGCAAGAAGUGUCUUUCCCAAUGUGACCUAACAAAUAAUAAUUGCAUGUCCUUAUGCACUGGCAUGAGAUAUUAUAGAGGAUAUUGUGAUGGGCCCCCGACUUUUACUAUUCCAAGGUGUUGUUGUUACAAUGAUUGAAAAAUUAUAACUUAGAAUUCUUCUUUUAGUUUGAAUAAAGUAUUAUAUUUUAUAAAAUAUAGAACAUAGAAUAUUAUCAUAAAGUAUGAUUGACAAAUUUGGGGAUACUUAAUGAAAUAAAAU